UGUUUCCCCUCUCCCGGUCCGUGAGUGACAAGUGGCAUCCAACCGCGUCCACUUGUCACUCACGGACCGGGAGAGGAGAAACAGC
Non-coding RNA from Podarcis lilfordi (Lilford's wall lizard), 85 nucleotides. The record is from the annotation of a GenBank genome assembly. Lineage: Eukaryota; Metazoa; Chordata; Lepidosauria; Squamata; Lacertidae.